GACGAACGCUGGCGGCGUGCUUAACACAUGCCAGUCGAAUGGAAAGGCCCUGCUUUUGUGGGGUGCUCGAGUGGCGAACGGGUGAGUAACACGUGAGUAACCUGCCCUUGACUUUGGGAUAACUUCAGGAAACUGGGGCUAAUACCGGAUAGGAGCUCCUGCUGCAUGGUGGGGGUUGGAAAGUUUCGGCGGUUGGGGAUGGACUCGCGGCUUAUCAGCUUGUUGGUGGGGUAGUGGCUUACCAAGGCUUUGACGGGUAGCCGGCCUGAGAGGGUGACCGGCAAAAUGGGGGCGGAGAUACGGCCAAGCCUCCGCCGGGGGGCAGAAGGGGGAAUUUUGGAACAUGGGGCGGAGGCUUGAUGCCGCACCCCCGGGGGCGGAAGGACGGCUUUCGGUUGGAAACCCGCUUUCGCCGGGAAAGAGGGUGGGGUGAGGGUAAGGGGUAAAGAAGCCCCGGCAACCUACGUC
RNAcentral lists this ribosomal RNA (468 nucleotides) under uncultured bacterium. RNAcentral's name for it is "partial 16S ribosomal RNA". It matches the Rfam family "Bacterial small subunit ribosomal RNA", at positions 28 to 507 of the family's 1533-position model. The record is from RNAcentral.